This is an RNA transcript of Triticum aestivum (bread wheat), 1603 nucleotides long. RefSeq lists it as uncharacterized. The record is from RefSeq and is a predicted model, not a curated record. Lineage: Eukaryota; Viridiplantae; Streptophyta; Magnoliopsida; Poales; Poaceae. The transcript is spliced from 3 exons.
CCACCGAAAAGACGGCACGCACUCUGUUCUAGGGUUUCCACCGCCGCCGCUACCGCCACCAUCCUGAGAUGCCGACCGAGCUGAAGCGCGCUGCGGAGGAUGGUGAUGAUUCCACUCCCACCCGUCUUCGCCGGAAAAUCGUAGUUCCAGAAAAGCCGGUCUAUCUGGUGGUGGAGCACAAGGCGGAGCCAGCGUACUCCAUCCUCAGUGUUGGCACAAUGGCGCCUAAGAUCCCGCUGCACCUCAGCCAACGCGGCAUGUCGUUCACUGCCAUGGAGUCGCCGCAGGGGUCCUGGAUCGUUGGCGUGGGCGGGGACAAGCAGAUUCACACCACCAUCUUCGAUGUCACCGCCUCCAAGGAGUGGCAGGGUCCGUGGCUCCAUACCAAUAAGAUGGAGCCCAUCCUGAUUCCACACCGCGGCCAGCUCUACGUGCUCUCCAGCCGCCCCUCCGUGAAGAGGGGGGCGAUGGGGCUCGACUACCUUCCCUGGUUCGAGCAGAUUAACUUCGAGGACGGCCGCCCUAACCAAGCCGAGGUUUGCCUAGAACUCGAGCCGCCGCCCAUCUUUCCGUGCCGCAUCACCCCGCCUGAGUACAGGAACCCGCCGGCUAUACGCGUUGCCUCUUACGCCAUGGUUGGCUCCCAUAUUUUGCUCUCCGUGCAACUGGACAAUGUGACCAGCCCCGACAAGGUUGCCAGGAAAUACAGGAAAUACAUGGGAACCUGCGGGUACGACGUGGAGAAGAAGGUGUGGGAGAUGGUGCAUGAGAUGAAUCUUCCUUUCCUUGGCCAGGCGGUGCCCCUCGGCGACCAACUCUUUCUUGCCCGCUCCAAAGAGAGGGACGGCGCUUAUGCAGUGUACUGCAUGCAUGUCGGUCAGUCAACAUCUGGGACCAGCGAGCUGUCCAUUAUUGAGGUUCCGCUGGUGGUGCCAAAGUCCCGACCUAUUCUGGGGGAACUUCUCUUCCCUUUGGGAAGGGGACGGUUCUCUUCUGUUCACUUUCGAUCUGUCGAUACUGAACCGGAGUCCAAGUUGGGCAAACCAAGUGUUGUACAUGGCACCUACUCUAUUGUGAAAGAAAAUUUCGAUGAUGCUAUAAUAAUGAAGCAGCAGCGGCAAGUUUACAAAGUAGCUGAUCGGUCGUGUCCAUUGGCUCAUCCUUUCCCUGUGGUUGCUGCUUUCACAAUGGGCGAUGCAUAGGACCUUGUCGGCAUUGAUGCACCUACAGCCUGAUGUGGCAAUACCGGCAAUCACUUCAACAAUGGAAGCAGAAUGAGGCUUCACUCACAAAGACGAGGACAAGGUGUGUAGCGUUGCAAUUAUCUGCUACAGUUGAUGCAAAAUUGACUGUCGUGUAACUGCAACCAACAUGUGGUAGCUUGGCGUCAAGUUUAUACUUUUUUCUCAGUUAGCUCCUGAUCAUGCUGUCCGGAUCCAUGCUAUCAAUAAUUAUGGUUUAUAUUUAGACAGUGUUUGGCUGUUGUCUAUUGUGUGGUUUGAAGUUGCAGGCUUGCAGCUCUGGCAUCUGUUCAGUCUCUAUGAUAUUUAUGUUGUAUACUAUUACUCUGGAGUUCGGCAAAGUUGCAGCUUUAGUCAUUCAA